This 322-nucleotide ribosomal RNA is filed under the name Dothideomycetes sp. RNAcentral's name for it is "eukaryotic LSU rRNA". The record is from RNAcentral. Lineage: Eukaryota; Fungi; Ascomycota; Dothideomycetes.
UUKGGGAAUGCAGYUHUAAAKGGGAGGUAAAUUUCUUHUAAAGDUAAAUAUUGGCCAGAGACCGAUAGCGCACAAGUAGAGUGAUCGAAAGAUGAAAAGCACUUUGGAAAGAGAGUCAAAAAGCACGUGAAAUUGUUGAAAGGGAAGCGCUUGCAGCCAGACUUGCCUGUAGUUGCUCAUCCGGGCUUUUGCCCGGUGCACUCUUCUAUGGGCAGGCCAGCAUCAGUCCCAGCGGUUGGAUAAAUGCCUGUUGAAUGUACCUCUCCUCGGGGAGGACUUAUAGCUUCAGGCGGCAUACAACCAGCCGGGAUUGAGGUCCGCG